Panicum hallii is the source of this 1548-nucleotide long non-coding RNA. RefSeq lists it as uncharacterized. The record is from RefSeq and is a predicted model, not a curated record. The transcript has 4 exons. NCBI's taxonomy places the organism in Eukaryota, Viridiplantae, Streptophyta, Magnoliopsida, Poales, Poaceae.
CUCCGACCGACGCUCCAACCCCCACAUUUUCCCCUUCCCUCCGCUUCGAUCUGCCCACCGCCUCCUCCCCGGUCAAGAUCUCCCCUCUUGCGGCCGGCCGAGCACCGCUCCUCCUCGCCGGCGGCCACCCAGGCGGCGCUCCUCCCUACCCGCCGCGGUGAAGGAGGCACUCCCGGCUGUCCCUCCCCACCCGCGGCGAAGGAGGCGCGGGCGGUCACUCCUUCCCGCCGCUGGCGAACGGCCAGGCAGGCACUCACAGCCAUCCCCUCGAGCGACCACAAGAGGGUCUGUCCCCGCCCAAGCGCCGCUCUCUACGCCCGUCCUUGCCGAGGCGCCCAUCCCUGCCCAUCCACGGCCAGAGCUUUGACAAGAGCAGGAAGGGGAUGGUUCAUUUAUUUUGACAAGAGCUUUGACAUGACCCUGCAUCAUCACGGCGGCCCUCCCCAAGCAGAAGCUCCUUCUAUUCGAUCUCCUCUAAGCAGUGAUGGGUGAAAAGGCGGUGUGGGAUAAUGCCACUUUGAAGCAUUUCAUUGACAUUUGCAAGGAGGAGCUUAGUCUUGGGAAUAGACCAAAUGACUGUUUUACUAGAACUGAUUGGAAGAACCUUGAGGAUAAGCUUUUUGCAAGAACCGGGUUGAAACAGUCACAAUUGAAGAAUAAAUUAGACAACCUAAAAAAAGAUUACACCGUGUUCAUGGAACUGAAAAUGCUGCCACUGGGCUUGGAUGGGAUGAUGCGAAUCAAACUGUUGAUUAUUCUAACACGUGGUGGAAUGAACAUCUUGCGUGAUGCAACAACCCAGAGAGAGGUAUCAAGUGCAUCCAUGUCAAGUUUCGAAAGCGGGGGCCGAAGUACCUUGAUGAUUUACAUCUGUUGUUUGAAAAGGUGCAUGUCACCGGUGCUUCCGCAUCAUGUCCGGGAGAUAUUUCCUCAAGUGACUCGAGUGACGAGGACACAAUGGAGAUUACUCGCAAUGAGAAACCAAAACCAGCAGGAAAGAAGCGCAAACAAUUGUCUAGUCCGACUCAAGAGAAGGAGGAGAAGACUCCAUUUUUUUGGAUGUACAAGAACACAUGCACGAGGAUUGAAAGUGCAGCUAAUAAAAUUGGGUCGAGUCUUGAAGCAUCAUCAGCUCCUCCACAAUCCAAUCCUGUUCCAACUAUUGCACAAGCCAUGAGAAUGGUGAAGGAUUGUGGGAUUCAAGAAAAAACUGCUUUGAUGCACAUAGCUACCUUAUUAAUCAUGAAGCCUGAGUUUAGAGAGAUACUUAGUGCGCUUGAAACAAAUGAAGGAAAGUUUGAUUUGAUUGAGAGGGAGCACAAGAUGAAGAAGGCCACAUAGAUCAAAUUCUCUUGUGUUUCAACCAUUUAUUUGCUUACGUUCUUGUAUGUUGGAAUAAUUAUCGUGUAUGUUGGAACCAGUUUUGUUUUGUACGUUGGAACCAGUUUUAUCUUGUAUGGUGGAACUAUUUUUCCCGUGUAUGUUUGAAUAAUUUUUCCUUAUAUGUUGGAACCAAUUAGCUUGUAUGUUCAAAGCGUUAUUUCUGCA